Molecule: unclassified non-coding RNA, 269 nt
Filed under: Hevea brasiliensis (rubber tree)
Lineage: Eukaryota; Viridiplantae; Streptophyta; Magnoliopsida; Malpighiales; Euphorbiaceae
Source: RNAcentral
UCUAUGGAUGCAUUCAUGGGGAAGAUCACAGAGAAAACAACUGGAUCUGUGACAGUUAAGUUGUACAAGGGAUCUGUAUCAGUAACCAGUCGCACAAGCCCUUAUAGUCUGUACAGGCAAGACAUCUCAUCCUUUGAGAGUGGAAAAAUAUAUGAUCAGGCUGAUGCAGCUGGAUUCAUUCGACUCUAUGGCCUUCCAAUGAAGGUUAGGGCAAUGCUCGAGAAGGGAAUCUGAUGAUUUUUUCUUUUUGUUGCACUUCUAUUUCAUGA